GGGUGCGUAACGGGUGUGCAAUCUGCCCAUAAUCGGGGCAUAGCCUAACGAAAGUUGGAUUAAUUCCCCAUGUGCUAUGAAGAGGCAUCUCUUUAUAGUGAAACGCAAGGAUUAUGGUUGAGCACGCUUCUGAUUAGAUAGUUGGUGAGGUAACGGCUCACCAAGUCGACGAUCAGUAGGGGUUCUGAGAGGAAGGUCCCCCACAUUGGAACUGAGACACGGUCCAAACUCCUACGGGAGGCAGCAGUGAGGAAUAUUGGUCAAUGGACGAGAGUCUGAACCAGCCAAGUCGCGUGAAGGAAGACGGUUCUAUGGAUUGUAAACUUCUUUUGCACAAGAGUAAAGUGUGGUACGAGUACCAUAUUGCAAGUAUUGUGUGAAUAAGCAUCGGCUAACUCCGUGCCAGCAGCCGCGGUAAUACGGAGGAUGCGAGUGUUAUUCGGAUUUAUUGGGUUUAAAGGGUACGUAGGCGGGUGAUUAAGUCAGUGGUGAAAGCGUGUAGCUUAACUAUACCGAGCCAUUGAAACUGGUUAUCUUGAGUACAGUAGCGGUAGGCGGAAUGUGGCGUGUAGCGGUGAAAUGCUUAGAUAUGCUUCAGAACUCCGAUUGCGAAGGCAGCU
This 620-nucleotide ribosomal RNA is filed under the name uncultured bacterium. RNAcentral's name for it is "bacterial SSU rRNA". It matches the Rfam family "Bacterial small subunit ribosomal RNA", at positions 104 to 726 of the family's 1533-position model. The record is from RNAcentral.